UAAAAGUUUUAUUCUUGCUAAAUAUUUACUUUAUGAUUAUUUUACAUGUAAUGUUUUUAAAUUGUAUUUAUUAUUCUUAAUGAGUCUUAAAUUUAUUUUGCAGUAAUAUGUAUUAUCUUUUUGAAGCAAUUCAGAAAUAGUAAUUUAUAAAUUUCUGGUUAAAUCCGUGCCAGCCACCGCGGUUAGACGGUAAGAAGAAGUAAAUAUUCUUGGUGUAGUAGUUAAUUUUAAUUUUAAUUUAUUAAAAUAAAAAUUUUUAGGUGAAAUUUUAAUUUUUUAAUAUUUAUGUUAAGUGAAGCUAUGAAAUUUAUUUGACAGACGAGGAUUAGAUACCCUUUUAUUAUAAAUGUUAAUUUUGCAACCAGGGUAGUAAUAGAUAUGUUCUUGAAACCCAAAGAAUUUGGCGGUAUUUUAGUCCUUUCAGAGGAAUCUGUCCCAUGAUCGACAGUCCACGAGAUGAUUUACUUAUUCUUGUAUUUCAGUUUGUAUACCUCCGUCAUAAGAAGAUCUUUUUAGAGAUAAAAUUUUCUUAAUAUAUUAAAUAUAAUAUGUCAGGUCAAGGUGCAAUUUAUGAAUAAGUGGAGAUGGAUUACAAUAAAUUUAUUUAAAUGGAUUAAAUUAUUUAAUUUUUUAUGAAGGUGGAUUUGAUAGUAAUUUUAAUUGUUUAUUAUUAUGAUUUUGGCUCUAAAAUAUGCACACAUCGCCCGUCGCUCUCAUUUCUAAAAUGAGAUAAGUCGUAACAUAGUAGGUGUAUCGGAAGAUGUACCUAGUAGGAU
RNAcentral lists this non-coding RNA (776 nucleotides) under Asiagomphus septimus. RNAcentral's name for it is "12S ribosomal RNA". The stretch from base 365 to 769 matches the Rfam family "Microsporidia small subunit ribosomal RNA", at positions 752 to 1303 of the family's 1311-position model. The record is from RNAcentral. Lineage: Eukaryota; Metazoa; Arthropoda; Insecta; Odonata; Aeshnidae.